CAUGUCUAAGUACACACGGGCGGUACAGUGAAACUGCGAAUGGCUCAUUAAAUCAGUUAUGGUUCCUUUGGUCGCUCCUCUCCCGCUCCUUGGAUAACUGUGGUAAUUCUAGAGCUAAUACAUGCCGACGAGCGCCGACCUCCGGGGACGCGUGCAUUUAUCAGACCAAAACCAACCCGGGCCCGCCCGGCAGCUUUGGUGACUCUAGAUAACCUCGAGCCGAUCGCACGCCCCCGCGGCGGCGACGACCCAUUCGAAUGUCUGCCCUAUCAACUUUCGAUGGUACUGUCUGUGCCUACCAUGGUGACCACGGGUGACGGGGAAUCAGGGUUCGAUUCCGGAGAGGGAGCCUGAGAAACGGCUACCACAUCCAAGGAAGGCAGCAGGCGCGCAAAUUACCCACUCCCGACCCGGGGAGGUAGUGACGAAAAAUAACAAUACAGGACUCUUUCGAGGCCCUGUAAUUGGAAUGAGCGCACUUUAAAUCCUUGAGCGAGGAUCCAUUGGAGGGCAAGUCUGGUGCCAGCAGCCGCGGUAAUUCCAGCUCCAAUAGCGUAUCUUAAAGUUGCUGCAGUUAAAAAGCUCGUAGUUGGAUCUUGGGAUCGAGCUGGCGGUCCGCCGCGAG
RNAcentral lists this ribosomal RNA (625 nucleotides) under Pycnonotus leucogenis (Himalayan bulbul). Its description in RNAcentral is "SSU rRNA". It matches the Rfam family "Eukaryotic small subunit ribosomal RNA", at positions 54 to 669 of the family's 1831-position model. The record is from RNAcentral. Lineage: Eukaryota; Metazoa; Chordata; Aves; Passeriformes; Pycnonotidae.